AGCGAACGCUGGCGGCAGGCUUAACACAUGCAAGUCGAGCGGGCACUUUCGGGUGUCAGCGGCUGACGGGUGAGUAACGCGUGGGAACGUGCCCUCUGGUUCGGAAUAACUCAGGGAAACUUGAGCUAAUACCGGAUACGCCCUUUUGGGGAAAGGCUUGCUGCCGGAGGAUCGGCCCGCGUCUGAUUAGCUAGUUGGUGAGGUAACGGCUCACCAAGGCGACGAUCAGUAGCUGGUCUGAGAGGAUGAUCAGCCACACUGGGACUGAGACACGGCCCAGACUCCUACGGGAGGCAGCAGUGGGGAAUAUUGGACAAUGGGCGCAAGCCUGAUCCAGCCAUGCCGGGUGAGUGAUGAAGGCCUUAGGGUUGUAAAGCUCUUUUAUCCGGGACGAUAAUGACGGUACCGGAGGAAUAAGCCCCGGCUAACUUCGUG
This 435-nucleotide ribosomal RNA is filed under the name uncultured bacterium. RNAcentral describes it as "partial 16S ribosomal RNA". It matches the Rfam family "Bacterial small subunit ribosomal RNA", at positions 29 to 507 of the family's 1533-position model. The record is from RNAcentral.